Molecule: unclassified non-coding RNA, 270 nt
Filed under: fungal sp.
Lineage: Eukaryota; Fungi
Description: partial internal transcribed spacer region
Rfam family: Eukaryotic small subunit ribosomal RNA (bases 1-45)
Source: RNAcentral
AGUCGUAACAAGGUAUCCGUAGGUGAACCUGCGGAUGGAUCAUUACCAAAGUGUUCCAUCCCCACCACUUGUGAACUGUAUCUUACUUGGUUGGCGCCGAGUCUGGGGCGUUACUCGCGCUUUGGGCACUGGAGAGCCAGUGGUUUCGGCCACUGGCAAUCCGGGACGUCAGCCAAACACCUUAUAAACAUACUACCCCCAAGAAGAACUAAAGUAUCUUUUAACAAAGAACCUCUGAGACAACUUUUAGCAAUGGAUCUCUAGGCUCUU